GGCUUCCGGCCCAUGGCGGUGGUUGGUGACUCAGUGUCCUUCCAGCGCGCUUUAUGUCCCGGAACUGAAAGGCAAUGAACAAUUUCCAAUCCACCCCAACCCUAAAAACCCUGCGGGGCCCCUAGGGUAUCCCUCCUACUUAACCCUGGCGGGCUCCUAGUCUCGGGAGGUGGAGGGGGCGGGGCGGCUGUUUUCCUGGACCUACUGCUGAAAGAACUCAGAACCUGGGGAAAGAUUGAGGCUGCAGCAGGCAGCGUGGAGGUCAGAUAGCUGGAAGCACUUAACGGCCCCGGGGAGAACCGCUGCACUCUCUUUUGCUUCCUCUCGCGGUUUGGUAGAAAAAAAAGAGGCCUCAGAGUAGUUUGUUUUUAAUGAGCUGGUUGCUGAAGUAAAUGUUAAAAUUUGCAAUUAAGCCCAGUCACCUGCCCCAGCCUUCUCUGAUCGAGGUUUCCAUCCUGCGGCAGCAUAUGCGCCAUCCUCCUCGAUCUUCACAGGUCUCUGAGCGGAGGGCUGGGCUUUCCAGCCCUACUUUCUGAAACUCUUAUGGUCAGCAUUGGAGUUCACUGGUUCCCCUAGGCGUUGAUCAGAGGAUGGGAACCAGCCCGGCCGGGCCCACCUUCACUCACUGGAUCAGUAAAUACCCUGGCGGUGCACCUGGUGUUGGAAGCUGGUGCUGCACAGGCGUGUGAGGAUUAGAUCAGAGCAGAAAACUCGGGCGAUGGCAGGGUGGUGAGGCACAGGUGAACUUUAUGGGCAGUAAGUGAGGUUCACUGGUUGGGGAAAGUUUAUUGGAAAGGUAGAAAUGAAUUGUACGACAGAAAUAACGAUAAUAGUAAGUUAGCAACCAUUUCUGGAGGCCGCCAUAGAUCUCGUACCGGUGAAGGGGCUAAAUUAUCUCAGAGGGUGCUCAAGUGGAUGGGGUUCAGACAGCCUACUCAGAUUUAAAUCCUGGUUCUACCAGGUCCUAGUUAGUGACCCUCAGCAGGUUUAGUUAUCUCUCCUGGGCCUCAGUUCCUCAUCUGUAAAAUAAUGAUAAUGGUACCUACCUCAUAGGGCUCUUCGGAGGAUUCGAAGUGUUAUUAUUGGUAAAAUAGGGCCGGGCUUGGUGGCUCACACCUCCCAGCACUUUGGGAGGCGAGGCAGGUGGGUCACCUGAGGUCAGGAGUUCGAGACCAGCCUGGCCAACAUGGUGAAACCCUGUCACUACUAAAAAUACAAAAAAAAAAAAAAAAAAAAAAAAAAAAAAAAAUAGCUGGGCCUGGUGGCGGGCGCCUGUAAUCUCAGUUACUUGGGAGGCUGAGGUCGGAGAAUCACUUGAACCCGGCAGGUUGCAGUGAGCCGAGAUCGCACCACUGCACUCCAGCCUGGGUGACAGAGUGAGACUCCAACUCAAAAAAAAAAAAAAGUGUAAAAUAGAAUAGGCCUGGCACAGCAUAAGUGCUGUAUAAGUUUUUGUUAAAUAACUUUCCUUUAAUCUUCCCAAGGUAUGAGGUCGCUGAUAUUUUCCCCAUUUUACAUCAAUGAAGUAAGGAUCAAUAGGUGUUGUGAAGAGACGGAGAGGAAGAAGGAAUACAUUUUUAAGUGGUUAUAAGACUGGGAAAGGGCCACAUUAUAGAUGCCUUUGUGUGGCUUUCAUUACUUUUGCAGACAUUGAUUUCAAAAUAUGGCUCUUGUAAUUUUUUUUCUUUCCUUUUCCCAUUUUUGGCAUUUUGCCAAGUAUGAGUGGUUAUGGCAUCAUCUGACUUUCUAGCAUUUUCUAUAGAGAAGUAGUACAGGGAAAAAACGUUAAGACCCUUGCAGAGAUGGGAAGGCUAUCCUUCAUUUUCUGUGCCAUCCCUGUCUUGAUCAUAAAUAACAGGAACUGGACGAAACAUGGUCUUAACUGGGCAUAGGGUGAUUAUAUAUGUGAAUUAUCUGUGAGAAAUGCCUGUCUCUCCUCUCUCCUCUCCCUGCUUAGCAUGUGAUUUGUAUAUUCUUAUUUUUCUUUGGUUUUGUUUUUUUCUAGAAAUGAGGUCUCACUGUGUUACCCAGUCUCAAACUGAGCUCAAGUGAUCUUCCCAUCUCAGGUGCCUCCCAAAGUGCUGGGAUUAUAGGUAUGACCUACCUUGACUGGCCUGUAUAUUCUUAGAGAUUGCAUUUUGUGGGCAGGGAGGGAGGUGAGUCCGAAGCUUGCUUGCCUUCCCUAGGCAUGCCGUCCUCCAGGAACCUCCACAUGUUCAGCUGUCCAGAGUGGCCCAUUAGAUUGAAAGAAUAUGGAAAGCCAUUGGGGAGCUGUUCCGCAGUGCACAGGUCUAUGCACACUUACCCCCAAAGUCCAAGGAAGCUAAGAGGUUGAGGAAGGAGGCUGACAAAUCCAGUUUCUUAGAAAUAUUUAAUAGGAAUUUAUGAACAGAAGCCAUGUCUGUGUCUUGGGUAGUGGUGAGACACGAUGGUGGAUCCCCAGGACAUCAUCCCCUGGAGUAAGUCCUGACCCCAGGACUUACCACAGGGAAGGAACCUCUAGGACAAUUGAAGUCUACCCUGCAGGGAAAGGCAAGAAUACUCAGUAAGCCAGGCUUUAUGAUCAAGAUUGUUUUGAUCUAAGGAGAAAUUAUGGUAAGUACAUGCUCUUACACAAAGAACAGUAGAUAAAAUAGAAAUCUUAGAGGCAUUCCCAAAACUGGGGUUAAUCAGACAUGAACAUUCCCAGCACUUUGGGAGUCCAAAGUGGGAAGAUCACUUGAGCCCAGAAGUUCAAGACCAGCCAUGGCAACAUAGCAAGAGACCCCAACUCUACAAAAAAAAUUCAAAAAUUAGCCAGGCAUGGUGGCACGUGUGCCUCUGAUCCCAGCUAUUCAGGAGCCUGAGGUGGGAGGAUCACUUGGGCCCAGUAGGUCAAGGCUGCAGUGAGCCAUGUUUGUGCCACUGCCCUCCAGCCUGGGCAACAGAGUGAGACCCUGUCCUUAAAAAAUUUUUUAAAAAAAGCAGGCCGGGCGUAGUGGCUCAUUCCUGUAAUCCCAACACUUUGGGAGGCCAAGGAAGGUGGAUCACCUGAGGUCAGGAGUUUGAGACCAGCGUGGCCAACAUGGUGAAACCCUGUCUCUACUAAAAAUACAAAAAUUAGCCAGGCGUGGUGGCAGGCGCCUGCAAUCUCAGCUACUUGGGAGCCUGAGGCAUGAGAAUCCCAGGAGGCGGAGGUUGCAGUGAGCUGAGAUUGUGCCACUGCACUCCAGCAUGGGCAACAGAGGGUGACUCCAUCUAAAAAAAAAAAGAGAAAGGCUGAGCGCCGUGGCUCAUGCCUGUAAUCCCAGCACUUUGGGAGGCCGAGGUGGGCGGAUCAUCUGAGGUCGGGAGUUCGAGACAAGCCUGACCAACAUGGAGAAACCCUGUCUCUACUAAAAAUACAAAAUUAGCCAGACGUGGUGGUGUAUGCCUGUAAUCCCAGCUACUCAGGAAGGCUGAAGCAGGAGAUUCGCUUGAACCCGGGAGGUGGAGGUUGUGGUGAGCCGAGAUCAUGCCAUUACACUCCAGCCUGGGCAACAAGAGUGAAAUUCUGUACCCCCCUAAAAAAAAAAAAAAAAAAAAAAAGAAAGGUGGAAUGGGUGGGAAGUGUUAUGUGGAAAUAGGCUCCCAGAGAGCACAGUGGAAAAGGUUGAGAGGAAGAGAAGCAGAAGGAGAUUGUAUUAGGGCCCUUUAGCUGCUCUCUUCAAGCAUGUUUAUUCAGUAUACGUUCCUUUUUGUGUUUUGUUUGGGAGACAGGAGUCUUGCUCUGUGGCCCAGGCUGGAGUGCAGUGGUGCAUCUUAGCUCACUGCAACCUCCACCUCCUGGUUUCAAGUGAUUCUCAUGCCUCAGCCUCCCAAGUAGCUGGGAUUACAGGUGUGUGCCACCAUACCUGGCUAAUUUUUUUUUUGUAUUGUUAGUAGGGAUAAGGUUUUGCCAUGUUGGCCAGGGUGGUCUCGAACUCCUGACAGGUGAGCCACCGCCUUGGCCUCCCAAAGUGCUGGAAUUAUAGGCAUGAGCCAUUGCGCCCGGCCUCUGUAUACAUUUCCUUUCCUCUCCCCCGAGAAACAGGGGCUUGCUCUGUUGCCCAGGCUCUGGAUGCAGUGGCACAAUCAUAGCUCACUGCAACCUCAAAUUCGUGCGCCACCGUACCUGGCUAUUUCUUAUAUUUAGUUGUUAUAGUUUUUGUUUGUUUGUUUGUUUUUUGAGAUGGAGUCUCACUCUUGUCACCCAGGCUGGAGUGCAGUGGUGCAAUCUUGGCUCACUGCAAGCUCCGCCUCCCGGGUUCAUGCCAUUCUCCUGCCUCAGCCUCCCAAGAAGCUGGGACUACAGGCGUCCCACACCCAGCUAAUUUUUUGUAUUUUUUAGUAGAGACAGGGUUUCACUGUGUUAGCCAGGAUGGUCUCAAUCUCCUGACCUCGUGAUCUGCCCGCCUCGGCCUCCCAAAGUGCUGGGAUUACAGGUGUGAGCCACCGCGCCCAGCAAUUUUUGUCUUUUUAGUACAGAUGGGGUUUCAUUAUGUUGGCCAGGCUGGUCUUGAACUCCUGACCUCGUGAUCCGCUGGCCUCUGCCUCCCAAAGUGCUGGGAUUAUAGUGUUGGAAUUACAGGUGUAAACCACGGCGCCUGGCCCCACUUAAGGAAAUAAUGUGAGAUGUAUAUAAAUAUCUUCAUGGCCAGGUGCAAUGGCUCAUGUCUGUAAUCCCAGCACUUUGGGACGCCGAGGCAGACGGAUCACCUGAGGUCAGUUCGAGACCAGCCUGGACAACAUGGUGAAACGCCGUCUCUACUGAAAAUACAAAAAUUAGCCCAGCGUGGUGGCGGGCAUUUGUAGUCCCAGCUACUCAGGAGGCUGAGGCAGGAGAAUCACUUGCAUCCGCAAGGUGGAGGUUGCAGUGAGCCGAGAUCACACCAUUGCACUCCAGCCUGGGCAACAGAAUGAGACUCUGUCUCAAAAAAAAAAAAAAAAAAAAAGCUGCUGCUGGCCUGACACGGUGGCUCAUGCCUGUAAUCCCAGCACUUUGGGAGGCCGAGGCGGGCAGCUUAUUUGAGGUCAGGAGUUUGAGACCAGCCUGGCCAACGUGAUGAAAACCCUGUCUCAAAAUACAAAAUUAGCUGGGUAUGGUGGCAGGUGCCUGUAAUCCCAGGUACUCAGGAGGCUGAGGCAGGAAAAUUGUUUGAACCCCGAAGGCAGAGGUUGCUGCAAGCCGAGACCACGCCAUUGCAUUCCAGCCUGCGUGAGAAGAGCAAAACUCUGUCUCAAAAAGAAAAAAAAAGAAAAAAAAAAAAAAGGCUGCUGCAGUUCCAGACAUAAUAUCCUCAUACCAAUAACCUACGCAGAAAGGAAGGGGCAAUGAGGGCUUUCUUCUUUAGAUGCUACAGUCCCUGACUUCCUCUAACAUCUUGUUGACCAAAACUGGGUCAGGGUCAUUUCAACUUGCAAGGGAAAGUGAUUAUUCAGCAAAGGGGAUCUUGAUUAAUUUCCUGGGGCUGGCAUACUGCCACCAGGGACAUUCUGGGAUUCUGUAUGUAGGGAAGAGGGGAAAUGGCUGUUGGGUAGACAACUGUGUUGCCACACCUAGUUAACUACAGCACGUUGUUUGGUCCAAUAAAAACACAUUCCAAGAGGAUAGUAUUUGCAAUCAGUGAUAGCGUAACCAUAUGCAGUCAUAUCUUUCUCCAGAAAAGGUGUGCAUCGUGUAUGUGUGUUAAAAGUCAGUUGUUUGAGAAAUGACAGAAGUAUAUUUAAUUCAUGUGACUAAUGACCCUUAAAAUGUGUUCCAUCUUCAUAUAUAAAUGUGCAAUUGUGUUUUGUGUCUCAUCUUGUAUGUAUUUAGUUGUUUUCUUUUUUCUGGUUGUUAUCUUUUUUUUUUUUUUUCUUUUUUUUGGAGACAAGGUCUCACUCUGUCACCCAGGGCGGAGUAGAGUGGUGGCACGAGCCUAGCUCACUAUUACAUUGAACUCCUGGGCUCAAGCGAUCCUCCUGCCUCAGACUCCUGAGUAGCUGGGACUACAGGUGCAUACCACCAAGCCUGGCUAAUUUUUUUUAAGGGUGGUAGUUUUCUCUGGAUCCUCUGCCUCGGCCGGCCUCCCCAAGUGUUGCCAUUACAGGCAUGAGCCAUCACACUUAGCCAUCAUCUUGUAUUUAAUAUGUAUAGUAGUACCUCUUCCCUUAUAUAUAUUGAACUCAAAAAGGUUAGGAAAGAGUAGGGACCCUUCUGGGAUGGAAGAAUUUGUGCCAUGUCCUCUAGUUUUCUGGAAAUGUAAUUACUUGAAGUGAUAAACUAGCUCAAGAAUGUUUUCUUAAAAUCACACAUUACAAAAUCCUAGGUUGUAUUAUCUGAAGCCAGCUAGAACAGCAGGCCUUGGGCUGCAUGCCCAGCUAGUAUCUAGAAUUUUUUUUUUUUUUUUUUU
Molecule: long non-coding RNA, 6392 nt
Filed under: Homo sapiens (human)
Lineage: Eukaryota; Metazoa; Chordata; Mammalia; Primates; Hominidae
Description: non-protein coding lnc-SMARCC2-9:1
Source: RNAcentral